GACGAACGCUGGCGGCGUGCUUAACACAUGCAAGUCGAACGGAAAGGCCCUGCUUUUGUGGGGUGCUCGAGUGGCGAACGGGUGAGUAACACGUGAGUAACCUGCCCUUGACUUUGGGAUAACUUCAGGAAACUGGGGCUAAUACCGGAUAGGAGCUCCUGCUGCAUGGUGGGGGUUGGAAAGUUUCGGCGGUUGCGGAUGGACUCGCGGCUUAUCAGCUUGUUGGUGGGGUAGUGGCUUACCAAGGCUUUGACGGGUAGCCGGCCUGGGAGGGUGACCGGCCACAUUGGGACUGAGGUACGGCCCAGACUCCUACGGGAGGCAGCAGUGGGGAAUAUUGCACAAUGGGCGGAAGCCUGAUGCAGCAACGCCGCGUGCGGGAUGACGGCCUUCGGGUUGUAAACCGCUUUCGCCUGUGACGAAGCGUGAGUGACGGUAAUGGGUAAAGAAGCACCGGCUAACUACGUG
Molecule: ribosomal RNA, 468 nt
Filed under: uncultured bacterium
Lineage: Bacteria
Description: partial 16S ribosomal RNA
Rfam family: Bacterial small subunit ribosomal RNA
Source: RNAcentral